GACGUAGGGCGCGAGCGUUGUCCGGAUUUAUUGGGCGUAAAGAGCGUGUAGGCGGCUUUACAGGUCCGUUGUGAAAACUCGAGGCUCAACCUCGAGACGCCGGUGGAAACCGUAAAGCUAGAGUCCGGAAGAGGAGAGUGGAAUUCCUGGUGUAGCGGUGAAAUGCGCAGAUAUCAGGAGGAACACCGGUGGCGAAGGCGGGUCUCUGGGCCGAUACUGACGCUGAGGAGCGAAAGCGUGGGGAGCGAACAGG
RNAcentral lists this ribosomal RNA (253 nucleotides) under uncultured bacterium. RNAcentral's name for it is "partial 16S ribosomal RNA". It matches the Rfam family "Bacterial small subunit ribosomal RNA", at positions 524 to 776 of the family's 1533-position model. The record is from RNAcentral.